GGAUAACUACUGGAAACGGUAGCUAAUACCGCGUAACGUCGCAAGACCAAAGAGGGGGACCUUCGGGCCUCUUGCCAUCGGAUGUGCCCAGAUGGGAUUAGCUUGUAGGUGAGGUAACGGCUCACCUAGGCGACGAUCCCUAGCUGGUCUGAGAGGAUGACCAGCCACACUGGAACUGAGACACGGUCCAGACUCCUACGGGAGGCAGCAGUGGGGAAUAUUGCACAAUGGGCGCAAGCCUGAUGCAGCCAUGCCGCGUGUAUGAAGAAGGCCUUCGGGUUGUAAAGUACUUUCAGCGGGGAGGAAGGGAGUGAGGUUAAUAACCUUAUUCAUUGACGUUACCCGCAGAAGAAGCACCGGCUAACUCCGUGCCAGCAGCCGCGGUAAUACGGAGGGUGCAAGCGUUAAUCGGAAUUACUGGGCGUAAAGCGCACGCAGGCGGUCUGUCAAGUCGGAUGUGAAAUCCCCGGGCUCAACCUGGGAACUGCAUUCGAAACUGGCAGGCUGGAGUCUUGUAGAGGGGGGUAGAAUUCCAGGUGUAGCGGUGAAAUGCGUAGAGAUCUGGAGGAAUACCGGUGGCGAAGGCGGCCCCCUGGACAAAGACUGACGCUCAGGUGCGAAAGCGUGGGGAGCAGACAGGAUUAGAUACCCUGGUAGUCCACGCUGUAAACGAUGUCGACUUGGAGGUUGUUCCCUUGAGGAGUGGCUUCCGGAG
This 715-nucleotide ribosomal RNA is filed under the name uncultured bacterium. RNAcentral's name for it is "bacterial SSU rRNA". It matches the Rfam family "Bacterial small subunit ribosomal RNA", at positions 141 to 851 of the family's 1533-position model. The record is from RNAcentral.